Molecule: ribosomal RNA, 254 nt
Filed under: uncultured bacterium
Lineage: Bacteria
Description: partial 16S ribosomal RNA
Rfam family: Bacterial small subunit ribosomal RNA
Source: RNAcentral
UACGUAGGGGGCUAGCGUUGUCCGGAUUUAUUGGGCGUAAAGAGCUCGUAGGUGGUUCGGUAAGUCGGAUGUGAAAUCUCCAGGCUCAACCUGGAGGGGUCAUUCGAUACUGCCGUGACUAGAGUUCGGUAGAGGAGUGUGGAAUUCCAGGUGUAGCGGUGAAAUGCGUAGAUAUCUGGAGGAACACCGGUGGCGAAGGCGGCAUCCUGGACCGGUAUUGACGCUGAGGCGCGAAAGCCAGGGGAGCAAACGGG